UACGUAGGGGGCGAGCGUUGUCCGGAUUCCUUGGGCGUAAAGCGCUUUAAGGCGGUUCGGUAAGUCGGGUGUGAAACCUCCAGGCUCAACCUGGAGACGCCACUCGAUACUGCUGUGACUAGAGUUCGGUAGGGGAUCACGGAAUUCCUGGUGUAGCGGUGAAAUGCGCAGAUAUCAGGAGGAACACCGGUGGCGAAGGCGGUGAUCUGGGCCGACACUGACGCUGUAGAGCGAAAGCGUGGGGAGCGAACAGG
This 254-nucleotide ribosomal RNA is filed under the name uncultured bacterium. RNAcentral describes it as "partial 16S ribosomal RNA". It matches the Rfam family "Bacterial small subunit ribosomal RNA", at positions 524 to 776 of the family's 1533-position model. The record is from RNAcentral.